Molecule: long non-coding RNA, 2212 nt
Filed under: Camarhynchus parvulus
Lineage: Eukaryota; Metazoa; Chordata; Aves; Passeriformes; Thraupidae
Description: lncRNA (ENSCPVG00000003899.2)
Source: RNAcentral
CCCUGCUAUAAUUGGCUCACGACCCUGCCGCUCACACGUCGGUGUCCCGCCCCGCCCCUCACCGGGGCGGGACGGAGCGCCCCCUUGCGGCGGUGGCGAUGCCGCUGAUGCCGGGUCCUCGCGGGGGUCGGGCCGCGCUCGGGCCUCGCCGGGAAGGGCUCGGCCGUGUACGGGGCACCGCCGCGGGCUCCGCCGGGCCCGGGGGGCCGCUGUCCAACGGCUCUGAGCCGCGGCUGAGCCAUUCGGGUCCGCAGGCCGCGCGGGUCCUUACAGGUUGUCCGUGCGGCCUGCGAGGCUGCGGCCCCUCAGCCGAGGCCAGAGUGGGACCACGGGGGUGACCCGGCACCGCUGUCCCCUCCCUGCUGCCCGUCUCAGGUCCAGCCCGGCCCCUCUCGGAGCUGAGCCCCCGUGGCAGUGGCACACGGGGUGUUCGUGGCUCCCCAGCCCGCCUGGGGCCGGCGGUGCGGAGGCGGCUCCACCGUCUGUCGGCAGCCUGCGGAAGGGUUGUGUGAGGCUUUGCCUUUGUGGGAUCCGGGCUGUGGGUGGGAGCUCUGGAGGGGGUGCUCCAGGUACCGCUGGCAGAGCCCAGCAGGAAGGAUGUAGCAUUGGCAGAGGGGCAAAAUGAGGUUGCAGGUGUCUGAAAAAGAAGAGAGCAAAGAGAUUUUUGUAGAAUUAGAUUGGAUAUCGGGAAGCAGUUCUUGGCUGUAAGGGUGGUUGAAGCCCUGGCACAGGUUGCCCAGAGAAGCUGUGGCUGCCCCAUCCCUGAAGUUAUUCAGGCCACAUUGCACGGAGCUUGGAGCAAGCUGGUCAAGUAGAAGGAAGGAAAUGGAAGUUUCUUUUCAAGAGACUGUUCCCUGGGCAAGACCUGAUGAGCUUAACAUCUCAAGGGACUGGGAGGGACCAGAGGAUGCACGAGAGUGACAGGAUGAGCUUUAAGUUUCUUCCAACCCAAACCAUUCUGGGAUUCUCUCAACCUGGUGAGUUGAUGACUCCUGUAAUUUUGACCAGGACUACCAUCCUAUUCCAGAGGCGAAUUUCUCACUUGGAACAUUUCUGCAAUACUGGGAGAAAUUACUUUUUUUUUUUUUUUGUGAAGGGACUGAAAACUGAAUCCCCAGGUACAGCAAAUGGGCUGUGCUGGGGUUGUGCCAGCUGGGUUCCUGCAUCCUUAAAAGCAGAUCGUAACAAAUCAAUGACUUUGCUCCGGGUGGGGAGGAACUGUGCAAAGCACUGCUGGGAUGAUGGGGCAAUCUGGAAAUAGCUUUUUAGCAUGUGGGCUGUCAGGAGCUCUUGUAUAAGCAAUUCUCCCAGCAUAUCUCUCUAUUGUGGCUUUUCAGCUGAAAUGAUUGUCACACCAGGACCUUCCUGGAGCUGCCCAGCAGGGUGUGUGACAGGCUGUUUGCAUCACAGGCCUUCCCAGUCCCUGUGCAUUGGAUAUCAAAUCCCAGCUGAUGGGAAAUGGCCUGCAUAGAGCAGCAAGGCCAUUCCUCCCACUGUGGCUUGUCUCAACUGCCUGUCUGCAUUAUCCUUAAUGUACUUUCUGGAAACCUGCCUCCUACCUUGGGGCUGCUCCCAGAGGAGGUUUAAUGGGUUUGAUUCAUCCACUGUUGCAGCAAGAUGAUUAAUAAUUGAAGAAAUUACAUCUUUCCUGAGUAGAGAUGGAGGAAAGGAGGAGCAAAGGAGAGCACUGGACAAAGGACAGCAGUAUCCUUGUGACCUCUCCCACCCUCCACCUCGCUCAGAACAUCCUGCUCCUGGAGCCCAUGGCAAGGGACCACUAGGCUGAGGCCUGGUGCAGCUACACCCUCCUCCUGAAGAGCAGAGCCACAUCCUCUUCUUCCCUAGCCAGGGCUCAGUGCUCUCUCUGGGACCUGGGCAGGAGCAGAGUGUGGAGCAGUGGUUAGCUGACAAGGGUCACUCCCUGAUACAGCUGGCUGACCAAGGGUGUGAAGGAUAACAAACUUAGCUCUCAGCCUCCGUCUAAAGCAGAGAUAGAGUGUCCUAGGGGUGCAGCUGUUUAGACAAUAAUGGCAUACAAGACAGGAGCAGGAAUGUGAAAAAGUCCCAGCCGAAUAAACCGCAAUAAUGCAGACCUAGGCGUGUUUGACCUUUAACCAUGUAACCAAUCAUGAGCUUACUUUUGCACUAUGCAUGAGUUUCAUUAACACUAGUAUAAAAACAUGUAUCGAUAAUCAAUAAAUGAGACUUGCUG